AAUGAACGCUAGCGGCAGGCCUAAUACAUGCAAGUCGGACGGGAUUUGGGAGCUUGCUCCUAAUGAGAGUGGCGCACGGGUGCGUAACACGUAUGUAACCUACCUUAAUCAGGGGGAUAGCCUCUCGAAAGAGAGAUUAACACCGCAUAAUAUAUUUUUAUGGCAUCGUAGAAAUAUCAAAUAUUUAUAGGAUUAAGAUGGGCAUGCGGAACAUUAGCUAGUUGGUAAGGUAACGGCUUACCAAGGCUACGAUGUUUAGGGGAUCUGAGAGGAUGACCCCCCACACUGGUACUGAGACACGGACCAGACUCCUACGGGAGGCAGCAGUAAGGAAUAUUGGUCAAUGGGCGCAAGCCUGAACCAGCCAUGCCGCGUGCAGGAAGGCGGCCCUAUGGGUUGUAAACUGCUUUUGUACCGGAAUAAACCCUUUUACGUGUAGAAGGCUGAAUGUACGGUAAGAAUAAGGAUCGGCUAACUCCGUGCCAGCCGCCGCAGUAA
Molecule: ribosomal RNA, 498 nt
Filed under: uncultured bacterium
Lineage: Bacteria
Description: partial 16S ribosomal RNA
Rfam family: Bacterial small subunit ribosomal RNA
Source: RNAcentral